UACGUAGGGGCUAGCGUUAUCCGGAAUUACUGGGCGUAAAGGGAGCGCAGGCGGGCAAGUCAGUCUGAAGUGAAAUCCCGGGGCUCAACCUCGGACUUGCUUCGGAUACUGCUUGUCUUGAGUUCGUGAUAGGAAGACGGAAUUCAGGGUGUAGCGGUGAAAUGCACAGAUAUCCUGAGGAACACCGGUGGCGAAAGCGGUCUUCUGGCGCGAAACUGACGCUGAGGCUCGAAAGCGUGGGUAGCAAACGGGAUUAGAUACCCGGGUAGUCCCU
RNAcentral lists this ribosomal RNA (274 nucleotides) under uncultured prokaryote. RNAcentral's name for it is "partial 16S ribosomal RNA". It matches the Rfam family "Bacterial small subunit ribosomal RNA", at positions 524 to 798 of the family's 1533-position model. The record is from RNAcentral.